Molecule: transfer RNA, 69 nt
Filed under: Procambarus acutus
Lineage: Eukaryota; Metazoa; Arthropoda; Malacostraca; Decapoda; Cambaridae
Description: tRNA-Gln
Source: RNAcentral
UAUACGUAAGUGUUAUCAGCACGAGAAGUUUUGAUCUUCUAAGAAUUGGUGAGAUCCCAUUAUGUAUAA